RNAcentral lists this ribosomal RNA (253 nucleotides) under uncultured bacterium. RNAcentral describes it as "partial 16S ribosomal RNA". It matches the Rfam family "Bacterial small subunit ribosomal RNA", at positions 524 to 776 of the family's 1533-position model. The record is from RNAcentral.
UAAGGAGGGGGCUAGCGUUGUUCGGAAUUACUGGGCGUAAAGCGCACGUAGGCGGAACAGAAAGUCAGAGGUGAAAUCCCAGGGCUCAACCUUGGAACUGCCUUUGAAACUCCUGUUCUUGAGGUCGAGAGAGGUGAGUGGAAUUCCGAGUGUAGAGGUGAAAUUCGUAGAUAUUCGGAGGAACACCAGUGGCGAAGGCGGCUCACUGGCUCGAUACUGACGCUGAGGUGCGAAAGCGUGGGGAGCAAACAGG